AAUAAGACAAGAAGCGUCCUGUGCACAUAGUAGGUGAGACCACGGUCCCUCCAUCUAUGAACGGAAACAGUCACACCAAAUGUCCCGGGCAGAUUUGACGAAGUGAAGCCACCUCAAAGACAUGAGUGCUGAGACUAGCAUUAAUCUCUCUGAUGCUAGAGAUAGAGAGUGUCGGAUUUGUCACAUGGGUUUGGAGAGUGAUAGCCAUGUAAAUGGGGCUCCAAUUGAAUUGGGUUGUUCUUGCAAGGAUGAUCUUGCUGUGGCUCAUAAAGAGCAUACAGGAUUGCUUCCUCUCUAUCUUCCUCCUGCCAGAUAAUCUCAUGAAGUGCAGCUAUUUGAAUUUUCC
Prosopis cineraria is the source of this 346-nucleotide long non-coding RNA. RefSeq lists it as uncharacterized. The record is from RefSeq and is a predicted model, not a curated record. NCBI's taxonomy places the organism in Eukaryota, Viridiplantae, Streptophyta, Magnoliopsida, Fabales, Fabaceae. The transcript has 3 exons.